AGUGAACGCUGGCGGUAGGCCUAACACAUGCAAGUCGAACGGCAGCACAGUAAGAGCUUGCUCUUACGGGUGGCGAGUGGCGGACGGGUGAGGAAUACAUCGGAAUCUACUUUUUCGUGGGGGAUAACGUAGGGAAACUUACGCUAAUACCGCAUACGACCUACGGGUGAAAGCAGGGGAUCUUCGGACCUUGCGCGAUUGAAUGAGCCGAUGUCGGAUUAGCUAGUUGGCGGGGUAAAGGCCCACCAAGGCGACGAUCCGUAGCUGGUCUGAGAGGAUGAUCAGCCACACUGGAACUGAGACACGGUCCAGGCUCCUACGGGAGGCAGCAGUGGGGAAUAUUGGACAAUGGGCGCAAGCCUGAUCCAGCCAUACCGCGUGGGUGAAGAAGGCCUUCGGGUUGUAAAGCCCUUUUGUUGGGAAAGAAAAGCAGCAGGUUAAUACCCCGCUGUUCUGACGGUACCCAAAGAAUAAGCACCGGCUAACAUCGUG
RNAcentral lists this ribosomal RNA (492 nucleotides) under uncultured bacterium. Its description in RNAcentral is "partial 16S ribosomal RNA". It matches the Rfam family "Bacterial small subunit ribosomal RNA", at positions 29 to 507 of the family's 1533-position model. The record is from RNAcentral.